CACAAUGGGAUUAGUGCCCUUAUAAGAAGAGACUCCAGGGCUUCCUCUCUACCACAUGAGGACAGAGUGAGAAGAUGGCUGUCUGCAACUGCCCUAAGGGCCAUCACAAGAACUCAACCGUGCAGGUCUUGAUCUCAGACUUCCAGCCUCCAGAACUGGGAAACGCCAUGUGAAGAUUAUGGAUUUCUGCUGCCACAAGCCAAGUAACUACCAGAAGCCAGGAGAGAGGGCUGGAGCAAGGGAGCCUGGCCCUGACGACACCUUGAUCUCAGACUUCGGGCCUCCAUAAUUGCACGAGCCACCAUGCCCGACCAGGACCGGUGUUCUUAUAAGAAGAGAGAGACAUCAGGAAUGGGUGUGUACAGAGAAAAGGACACAGCAAGAUGGUGGCCAUUUGCAAGCCAAGGAGAGAGACCUCAGGAGAAACCAACCCGCCAGCACCUUGAUCUUAGACUUCCAGUCUCCAAAAUUGGGAGAAAAUAAACGUUUGUUGUUUAAGA
Homo sapiens (human) is the source of this 500-nucleotide long non-coding RNA. RefSeq lists it as uncharacterized. Lineage: Eukaryota; Metazoa; Chordata; Mammalia; Primates; Hominidae. The record is from RefSeq and is a predicted model, not a curated record. The transcript has 3 exons.